GUGGCUAUGGUGUAAUGGUUAACACUAGAGUUUGUGGAACUCUCAAUCUGGGUUCAAUUCCCAGUAGCCACCCA
This 74-nucleotide transfer RNA is filed under the name Candidatus Yonathbacteria bacterium RIFCSPLOWO2_01_FULL_47_33b. RNAcentral's name for it is "tRNA-His". It matches the Rfam family "tRNA". From Rfam's summary of the family: Transfer RNA (tRNA) molecules are approximately 80 nucleotides in length. Lineage: Bacteria; Candidatus Yonathiibacteriota. The record is from RNAcentral.